GUGUUACUGACGCUCAUGCUCGAAGGCGCGGGUAUCGAACAGGAUUAGAUACCCUGGUAGUCCGCGCGGUAAACGAUGGAUGCCCGCUGUGCGCCCUUGAGGGUGCGCGGCCAAGCGAAAGCGUUAAGCAUCCCACCUGGGGAGUACGCCGGCAACGGUGAAACUCAAAGGAAUUGACGGGGGCCCGCACAAGCGGAGGAACAUGUGGUUUAAUUCGAUGAUACGCGAGGAACCUUACCCGGGCUUGAACUGCAGAGGAAGGAUCUGGAGACAGUGACGCCCUUCGGGGUCUCUGUGGAGGUGCUGCAUGGUUGUCGUCAGCUCGUGCCGUGAGGUGUCGGCUUAAGUGCCAUAACGAGCGCAACCCCUCUCCCCGGUUGCCAUCAGGUGAUGCUGGGCACUCCGUGGACACUGCCGCCGCAAGGUGGAGGAAGGUGGGGAUGACGUCAAAUCAGCACGGCCUUGUACGUCCGGGGCUACACACGUGUUACAAUGGGGGGCACAGCGUGCCGGCGCUCCGCAAGGUGCGUCCAAUCAUGAAAUCCCCCCUCAGUUCGGACUGGGGUCUGCAACCCGACCCCACGAAGCUGGAUUGCUAGU
Molecule: ribosomal RNA, 600 nt
Filed under: uncultured bacterium
Lineage: Bacteria
Description: bacterial SSU rRNA
Rfam family: Bacterial small subunit ribosomal RNA
Source: RNAcentral